AGAAUUUGAUCUUGGUUCAGGAUGAACGCUAGCGACAGGCUUAACACAUGCAAGUCGAGGGGCAGCAUAGAAGUAGCAAUACUUUGGUGGCGACCGGCGCACGGGUGAGUAACGCGUAUGCAACCUACCUAUCAGAGGGGAAUAACCCGGCGAAAGUCGGACUAAUACCGCAUAAAACAGGGGCACCGCAUGGUGAUAUUUGUUAAAGAAAUUCGCUGAUAGAUGGGCAUGCGUUCCAUUAGGUAGUUGGUGAGGUAACGGCCCACCAAGCCGACGAUGGAUAGGGGAACUGAGAGGUUGGUCCCCCACACUGGUACUGAGACACGGACCAGACUCCUACGGGAGGCAGCAGUGAGGAAUAUUGGUCAAUGGGCGGGAGCCUGAACCAGCCAAGUCGCGUGAAGGAAGAAGGAUCUAUGGUUCGUAAACUUCUUUUGCAGGGGAAUAAAGUGCAGGACGUGUCCUGUUUUGUAUGUACCCUGAGAAUAAGGAUCGGCUAACUCCGUGCCAGCAGCCGC
This 518-nucleotide ribosomal RNA is filed under the name uncultured bacterium. Its description in RNAcentral is "bacterial SSU rRNA". It matches the Rfam family "Bacterial small subunit ribosomal RNA", at positions 8 to 518 of the family's 1533-position model. The record is from RNAcentral.